AUGUACUUGAUAGAUGGCCUAAUGCCAUACACAGAAGUAUUUAGUGUGUUGGAUUGGUGGGAAGUAGCUGGAACAAGAUAUCCAACAUUAAGGAAGGUUGCCAGAGAUAUAUUUGCCAUUCCCGUGACAACAGUUGCUUCAGAGUCGGCAUUUAGCACAAGUGGCAGAAUACUUAGUGAGCAUAGGAGCCGCCUAACUCCUAAUAUGGUGGAAGUCUUGAUGUGCUCCCAAAAUUGGCUUAGAAACAAAUGCAAAGGUGAGCAAAUAAUGUAA
This 273-nucleotide ribosomal RNA is filed under the name Triticum aestivum (bread wheat). RNAcentral's name for it is "partial small subunit ribosomal RNA". The record is from RNAcentral. Lineage: Eukaryota; Viridiplantae; Streptophyta; Magnoliopsida; Poales; Poaceae.